CCCUCCACCUCCUGGACAGCUCACUAAGAAUGCAGCUUCACAAUGGAUGUGAAGCUGCAUUCUUAGUGAGCUGUCCAGGAGGUGGGAGG
This is a non-coding RNA of Pelobates cultripes (western spadefoot toad), 89 nucleotides long. The record is from the annotation of a GenBank genome assembly. Lineage: Eukaryota; Metazoa; Chordata; Amphibia; Anura; Pelobatidae.